Molecule: ribosomal RNA, 253 nt
Filed under: uncultured bacterium
Lineage: Bacteria
Description: partial 16S ribosomal RNA
Rfam family: Bacterial small subunit ribosomal RNA
Source: RNAcentral
UACAGAGGUCCCGAGCGUUGUUCGGAUUCACUGGGCGUAAAGGGUGCGUAGGUGGCGAGGUAAGUCGGAUGUGAAAGCUCGGAGCUCAACUCCGAAAUGGCAUUGGAAACUACCUUGCUCGAGGGUUGGAGGGGGGACUGGAAUUCUCGGUGUAGCAGUGAAAUGCGUAGAUAUCGGAAGGAACGCCGGUGGCGAAAGCGACGUGCUGGACCCCUUCUGACGCUGAGGCGCGAAAGCCAGGGGAGCAAACGGG